This is a long non-coding RNA of Herpailurus yagouaroundi (jaguarundi), 1961 nucleotides long. RefSeq lists it as uncharacterized. Lineage: Eukaryota; Metazoa; Chordata; Mammalia; Carnivora; Felidae. The record is from RefSeq and is a predicted model, not a curated record. The transcript is spliced from 2 exons.
UCCGUGCUGUCAGCACAGAGCCCAUCACAGUGCUUGGUCCCACAAACCAAACUGUGAGAUCAUGACCUGAGCUAAAAUCAAGAGUUUGAGACAUGUAAGUGCCCCAAUUUAGUUGUGGUCUUAUCAGAAAUCUCUAUCCUACCUUCUACUUUUCCAUUGGUUUCAGAAUCCCUGCCAGGGAUGAAAGGGGCUUCAUUUACCUCAAAUUAUUAUUAUCUUGCAUAAGAACCAGAAAAUCACCUGCAGAUACUAGGUAAGACCUCUACAAAGUUAAUUUUUUCAUGACUCAAAUUGUCCAGGGACAAUUAUCCUAUUCCUUCUUCUUCAUUCAGUAUCUUUAUUGAGUAUCUACUAUGUGCUAGUCACUGGAAUCCAUAGUAAACGGACAAGCUUCCUAUUAAAGCAAAGCUCGUAGUCCAGUAAUAAACAAGAAAACAAACCAAAAUAUCAGAUAAAAGGGAGCAGGUAAUUAAAAUGGAGAGAUAUGUUGUGAGUGUUUGGGUUAGGUGGAAGGAGGUGACUUUUGUGAUGAGAAAUAAAUGACAGGAAGGAACCAGCCACGGGAAGACAAGAAGCAGAGCAUUCUGGGCAGAGGAAAUGCUUCCCAGUGUAAAGUUAAGUACUGGGAAACAUAACCGUUGAUUUUUCCUCACCUCUGAACCCAGCAACCCUCUGUCCUUAAAAUGCGCACCACAAGCUCUAGUGUCUGAGUUGCCCCCGAACCAUCUCUCCCUCCCUCGGAUGAUAAACACCAAAUUUUGGAUCAAUGGUACCAAAUUUACAAAUGUCCCAGCUCUUCCCGGUUUACUUUCCUCCCUAGCCAUCACUGUACUUCAAACCAGGCAUGGACAGUUCUAUUUCGUUUUUAUGCAGUAACAACCUAUAUAGAUCCUUCUGAUAAGUGGCUCUACGCUAACGAUGUUUGGUAAGAUCUCUCUCAACAGCUUAGAGUCUUCAUUCAAAGCCCCAAAAAACAGUGACGCAAAUUGCCCUAGACCAGGAUCUGAGGUCUUCCAGGACCCUUUUUCACAGGAAUUUGAAAACAGGCACAUUCCAUUUUGCCCUUUGUUAGAGAGCUAUUGACAAUAAACAGAAUUCGGCUCAGAAUUUGUGCUGUAAAACAGCAGAACGCUGAACAAACCACUCUUUCUCACCCAGGGCAACACUCCCCUGGAUUCUGCUGAUACUUACACAGGGCUUAAGUAAGAACAUUUGGGAAGUUUAUGGGAAACUAAAAGUCUCAACGCAUUAGUUUCUUAAAUUCUUUGUUAUUUUGACUGCACCGAAGGCUAUUCCACAAGCCAUUAUCAGAAUCCACCCAUCUUCAGUUCCCGUAAAUAUUAUGUCUACCCAGAACUAUGUGAACUAUUUCAUAGCUGGAAUAUGAGCCAGGCUGUGGAACUCGCUAGUAGGAAUAAGAGGAGCGUUGAAACCUGAAGGUGAGAAAAUUCAGGAGGCAAAGGGCACAGUGAGCUAAAGGAUGAUGCAUGUUUUGGGGAAAGAAGACAGCUCAGCCCUCAGAGACUGAUUAGUAUUCAGCCCAUACUUGAUUAUUUAAACCCAGCAGCGAAUGUUUGCUAACACAUUCCUGGGGGCACGAGGGUGGCUUUCAUUACAACAAGUAAAAGAAGCUGCGUUCCGGCCUCAGCAGUCGUCCUUGUUGUAGCUGAUACUAACUAUUCCAGGCAAUGGAGAGCAAGGAAAACUGAGGCAGCAACUGUCAAACGUUGGUGAUCUCCUGGAAAGGAGCAAAGUAGGCAGCUGCUGCCAUGCAUCCUGGAGCUGGGGACUAAAUUCACUCCGGUGGCAAACCUCUGAUGCAGGACGUUGGUGAAAAGGCAUUGUACCACGGAAAGCACGAAUUAAAUCCGCAGAACACGUAGAGUGUUGCCACUUCUAACUAACUGAGCUAACCUGCCAAGAAGAGUGUUUCCACUUCUGCUAGAGGAAACUGCAAGCAG